This 253-nucleotide ribosomal RNA is filed under the name uncultured bacterium. RNAcentral describes it as "partial 16S ribosomal RNA". It matches the Rfam family "Bacterial small subunit ribosomal RNA", at positions 524 to 776 of the family's 1533-position model. The record is from RNAcentral.
UACGGAGGGGGCUAGCGUUGUUCGGAAUUACUGGGCGUAAAGCGCACGUAGGCGGCUUUGUAAGUUAGAGGUGAAAGCCCGGGGCUCAACUCCGGAAUUGCCUUUAAGACUGCAUCGCUAGAAUUGUGGAGAGGUAAGUGGAAUUCCGAGUGUAGUGGUGAAAUGCGCAGAUAUCGGGAGGAACACCAGUGGCGAAGGCGGCAUCCUGGCCCUGUCCUGACGCUCAGGGGCGAAAGCGUGGGGAGCAAACCGG